This 738-nucleotide long non-coding RNA is filed under the name Panax ginseng (ginseng). RNAcentral's name for it is "long non-coding RNA (PGIN_LNC015706)". Lineage: Eukaryota; Viridiplantae; Streptophyta; Magnoliopsida; Apiales; Araliaceae. The record is from RNAcentral.
GAAGACUUUCAACAAAUAACCCCCAUCUCUCAUACGCGUCUUCAAUUUUUCCAAUUGCCGCAGUACUAAUUCAGGUACUAUCUUUUUUCCUCCCUCUAUAUGUAUAUGGGGUUAAUUAUUAGUAUCUUAUGGUUACAAAUCAGGGGUAAAUUUUGAAUAAUUGGAGAUAUGGUUUUCCAUUCUGUGAAUUUGUUUAAUUAAUUUGAGGACUGAGGUGUUUGGUGGGUAUUUCCAAGUGAUUUUUUUUCUUAAUUUGUAUUUAUUUCAAGAUGAAUUUGCUCAGGAGUGUUUGAUUGGGCUAGAUCUGUUUGAAUGGUGAUAUAAUGAGUUUUAUGUAGCUGUGUAACAAUAUGAUGUUUAAAAGGUAGGAUUUUGGGAAAAUGAAAAGGCAGGAUUUGUAAUUACUUUCUAAUUACUGAAACAGAUCUAUUUUCAUAAUGAAAAACGAAAAAGAAAAAGUUGUUUGGACAAAGAUCUAUUUUUUUUUCCUUUUCUUCCUAUGUUCAGUUGUUUAUUCCAUGAAAACACCACAUAAGUUUUUUUUUAUGUUGUUGCACAAAAAUAAGGUUUUUCAGUGUUGCAGGUUCAAUGCAGUUGGAGUUAUUCUUCAGUUUAGAAGUAAAUAAAUUAGUAUUUUUAAAAGGCACACUUGUUCAAAAAAACUGAGAAGAGAAACCGGAUGUUAUCACAGAAGGCUCAAGGCAGACAUUGUAACCAAAUGGAUCCUUAGAUUUCAAA